UAGUCCAUGCUGUAAACGAUGAGAACUAGCCGUUGGUUAUCUAUUGGAUAAUGAGUGGCGCAGCUAACGCGAUAAGUUCUCCGCCUGGGGAGUACGGCCGCAAGGUUAAAACUCAAAUGAAUUGACGGGGGCCCGCACAAGCGGUGGAGCAUGUGGUUUAAUUCGAUGCAACGCGAAGAACCUUACCACCCCUUGACAUCCAGAGAAGGUCUGAGAGAUUGGACUGUGCCUUCGGGAGCUCUGUGACAGGUGCUGCAUGGCUGUCGUCAGCUCGUGUUGUGAAAUGUUGGGUUAAGUCCCGUAACGAGCGCAACCCUUAUGUCUAGUUGCUAACAUUUAGUUGAGCACUCUAGAGAGACUGCCGGUGAUAAACCGGAGGAAGGUGGGGACGACGUCAGGUCAUCAUGGCCCUUACGGGGUGGGCUACACACGUGCUACAAUGGGUCGUACAGAGGGCAGCGAAGCAGCGAUGUGGAGCGAAUCUUUUAAAGCGACUCG
This 498-nucleotide ribosomal RNA is filed under the name uncultured bacterium. RNAcentral describes it as "bacterial SSU rRNA". It matches the Rfam family "Bacterial small subunit ribosomal RNA", at positions 791 to 1288 of the family's 1533-position model. The record is from RNAcentral.